GACGAACGCUGGCGGCGUGCUUAACACAUGCAAGUCGUACGGUAAGGCCCUUUCGGGGGUCCACGAGUGGCGAACGGGUGAGUAACACGUGAGUAACCUGCCCACAACUUUGGGAUAACGCUAGGAAACUGGUGCUAAUACUGGAUAUGUGCUCCUGCUGCAUGGUGGGGGUUGGAAAGCUCCGGCGGUUGUGGAUGGACUCGCGGCCUAUCAGCUUGUUGGUGGGGUAGUGGCCUACCAAGGCGGCGACGGGUAGCCGGCCUGAGAGGGUGACCGGCCACAUUGGGACUGAGAUACGGCCCAGACUCCUACGGGAGGCAGCAGGGGGGAAUAUUGCACAAUGGGCGCAAGCCUGAUGCAGCAACGCCGCGGGCGGGAUGACGGCCUUCGGGUUGUAAACCGCUUUCAGCAGGGACGAAGCUUUUUGUGACGGUACCUGCAGAAGAAGCACCGGCUAACUACGUG
RNAcentral lists this ribosomal RNA (465 nucleotides) under uncultured bacterium. Its description in RNAcentral is "partial 16S ribosomal RNA". It matches the Rfam family "Bacterial small subunit ribosomal RNA", at positions 28 to 507 of the family's 1533-position model. The record is from RNAcentral.